RNAcentral lists this ribosomal RNA (447 nucleotides) under uncultured bacterium. RNAcentral's name for it is "bacterial SSU rRNA". It matches the Rfam family "Bacterial small subunit ribosomal RNA", at positions 331 to 795 of the family's 1533-position model. The record is from RNAcentral.
CCAGACUCCUACGGGAGGCAGCAGUGGGGAAUAUUGCACAAUGGGGGAAACCCUGAUGCAGCAACGCCGCGUGAGUGAAGAAGUAUUUCGGUAUGUAAAGCUCUAUCAGCAGGGAAGAGAAUGACGGUACCUGACUAAGAAGCCCCGGCUAACUACGUGCCAGCAGCCGCGGUAAUACGUAGGGGGCAAGCGUUAUCCGGAUUUACUGGGUGUAAAGGGAGCGUAGACGGCAUGGCAAGUCUGAUGUGAAAACCCGGGGCUCAACCCCGGGACUGCAUUGGAAACUGUCAGGCUAGAGUGUCGGAGAGGCAAGUGGAAUUCCUAGUGUAGCGGUGAAAUGCGUAGAUAUUAGGAGGAACACCAGUGGCGAAGGCGGCUUACUGGACUGUAAAUGACGCUGAGGCUCGAAAGCGUGGGGAGCAAACAGGAUUAGAUACCCUGGUAGUA